GGUUGACCUCGGAUCAGGUAGGAAUACCC
Molecule: ribosomal RNA, 29 nt
Filed under: Ilyonectria destructans
Lineage: Eukaryota; Fungi; Ascomycota; Sordariomycetes; Hypocreales; Nectriaceae
Description: partial 28S ribosomal RNA
Source: RNAcentral